This 443-nucleotide ribosomal RNA is filed under the name uncultured bacterium. RNAcentral describes it as "partial 16S ribosomal RNA". It matches the Rfam family "Bacterial small subunit ribosomal RNA", at positions 338 to 795 of the family's 1533-position model. The record is from RNAcentral.
CCUACGGGAGGCUGCAGUGGGGAAUAUUGGACAAUGGGGGGAACCCUGAUCCAGCGACGCCGCGUGAGUGAAGAAGUAUUUCGGUAUGUAAAGCUCUAUCAGCAGGGAAGAAAGAAAUGACGGUACCUGACUAAGAAGCCCCGGCUAACUACGUGCCAGCAGCCGCGGGAAUACGUAGGGGGCAAGCGUUAUCCGGAUUUACUGGGUGUAAAGGGAGCGUAGACGGCGAUGCAAGUCUGAAGUGAAAGGCGGGGGCCCAACCUCCGGACUGCUUUGGAAACUGGAUGGCUGGAGUGCAGGAGAGGUAAGUGGAAUUCCUAGUGUAGCGGUGAAAUGCGUAGAUAUUAGGAGGAACACCAGUGGCGAAGGCGGCUUACUGGACUGUAACUGACGUUGAGGCUCGAAAGCGUGGGGAGCAAACAGGAUUAGAUACCCUUGUAGUC